Molecule: unclassified non-coding RNA, 263 nt
Filed under: plant metagenome
Description: partial contains small subunit ribosomal RNA, internal transcribed spacer 1, and 5.8S ribosomal RNA
Source: RNAcentral
UUUCCGUCGGUGAACCUGCGGAAGGAUCAUUAUUGUAUAACCGAGGUGCGAGGGCUGUCGCUGACCCGAAAGGUCGUGCACGCCCGAGUGCCCUCACACACAUCCAUCUCACCCCUAUGUGCACCACCGCGUGGGUCCCCCUUUGGCUUGUUCGGAGGGGGGCUUACGUUUUCACACAAACUUUGUAUGCAGUGUAGAAUGUAUUUUUUGUUUUUGCGAUCACGCAAUCAAUACAACUUUCAACAACGGAUCUCUUGGCUCUC